This is a non-coding RNA of Misgurnus anguillicaudatus (oriental weatherfish), 2961 nucleotides long. The record is from RefSeq and is a predicted model, not a curated record. NCBI's taxonomy places the organism in Eukaryota, Metazoa, Chordata, Actinopteri, Cypriniformes, Cobitidae.
UGUGUGUGUGUGUGUGUGUGGUUGCGUGUGUGUGUGGUUGCGUGCGCGUGUGUGUGCAGUAGCCUACUGUAUGUACAAUGCAUAGACAUACUGUAUAGCCUAAGCUUCAUUUGGGUCUAUUCAAAUGAACUGAAUAGAUGGUUUGCGACAGGUACCUAUAACACACACUAAAAGAAUCUCCAAGUGUCAUUCAGAACUUAUUUAAUGCAUGCAUAAUAAAAUAAAUAAGAUACAGUGCUGGCCAGAACAUAAUCUUUUAACAACGGCCACAUCCAAUGAAACAAUAUGUUUAGCUGGCAGCAAGCGUUUGUAAGUCAAUGAAACCGAGACCUAUCAGCACCAUGACGUAAUUAAUGUUCACGACAUAAUUCCAGCAGCCGCAGUCGCGCAUACACGCGCAAGAUUUCACGCGCAAAAACCGUUACAACCGUUGCAGCGCGAGCACAGGGACUGAGAGGAACAGCGCACCUAUCUGAGGGACUGAAACAAAUAUGAGCACAGAAGUUAUUCAAUGGACUACUCAAGAUGUGACUGGUUGACUGGAAAAAGUUUCCACAAAUUGAUCCUAAUUUCCUAAUUAUUUCAAGGUUGAUCUCACAGAAAUGCCUACUCUUUUUAAUUGUGUCAUAUGCAGCAAACAAACAUUUUCUAUAAACAGACAUAUUGGCCUUUAUCACCAAAAUAGCCCAAAAUUUGAAUUCACACGUGGAUUAAAUAGUUGUGGCAAAGUAAACAAAAUCUUCAUUUCCUAUAGAUUAGGUUAAAAUGUAUGUUUGCUGCAAUAUAUAAUUCAGAAUGCAAUUUUGUUAAAAUUAUCAUCUUCUACUCCUUUUUUUAGAGAAUGAAAUUGAUGGGGAUACGUUAAUUAACCUAACUGACAAUAUGAGCUAAAUGUUUUCCUGAAAUAAAGGAUCAAGUUAAAUUCAUUAGACUACACAGAAACAAAUAAAGACUGAAAUGCCUACCAAGACACAUCAGUCAUGAGUAUCCAACAAGUUACCAAUUAAACAAGGUGUGAUUAUCCCUUGUCACCAAAUACCAGUUCUUGAGAGACUGGUAAGAGAAUGGAACCACAAGAUUUCAUCAAAAGUCCAACAGAUAACCAGUGCAGAGGUAAAGCAUGUCAGACAAAGUGACACCUUAAUGGACAAUUAUAAUUUUAAAAUGCUUUGUGUUUUUUAUUUUAUAAGACUGAGGAAAACCAAGACAUGUACAGUAUAGAAAGAGGUAAUUGUCACAAACAGACUGAUCUUCAGGAUUCAGUAAAAGCAGCAGUGGCGGCUCGUGACUGCUCAUCCGAGGGGCGCUAAUUCCAAAUAAGUGUUCGGAGUGUCAUGUGUGUUGCUUGCGUUUUCAAAAUAUGUGUUGGUUGUGUCAUGUGAACCAUGUGCAUCACGUGUUUUGUCAAAGUAAGUGCCUGCUGCACACGCGUCAAAACCAUUUAUGAUAAAAGAGACGCUCACGUUCACAAAAUACACACAAGACACUCCCUUAACAGUAAAUUCUGAUUACGCAUGAGAUUAUGCGAGUAUCUGGCAAACGCGAGUGUCUCUUUUAUCAUAAACCCUUUAGACACGUUUGCAGCAGGCACUUAUUUUGACAAGACACGUGAUGCACACAGGAUCUCUCAUAGCGCAGAACACAUAUUUUGAAAAAAGGAACCACACACAUCACGGGCUACAUACAUAUUGUGACGAACUUCGCAUUGAGCGCUCUCAAAAAAAGAAGUCACCGGCCGCCACUGAAAAUCAGUAAAGUUAAUAAUGCAUACAUUUGUGGAAAGUCUGAGCAGGGGAAGAUGAUUACAGCAUUGGGUUGCACUUUGAAAAAGUGAAAACAAGAAUGCUUGAAAAAACACCAAAUAUUAAACUUUUUAGAGGACUGCAUGGCAUAGACAAUGACUGAGAGGACUAAAUCCCUAUCCAGCCCUUAAAGUCCCUUCAGUUCUUGCAUUUGACGUCGAAAGCAUACUUGACACAGCCAUUGAAAGAAACAUGCUGAAGAAUCUAGGCCUGGUGGCACAGAAAGUGAUUAAUGAGUGCCACAGAAGACAUUUUGGAGUGCAUAUCUGUACCGAACUGGAUGAAGCAAAACAAGCCUACAUUGAUUUGGCACACAGAGGUCUCUCAAUGGCUGCUGCUGCUACCAUGUUGCUUCCAUUUCUUUUCAAGGAGAGCCCAAGAUUCCUUUAUGUCAUUAAUCAGGUACCAAAUACACCCAACCCAGUUCUAUAUAUAAAAGGAAGCCCUUUGGGUGCAGAUUCAAUCCUGGAGAUAAUGAUGGAAGGUGAGAAAGUCUUUGAGGUAGAUGAUGUCACUAUAGCGCUUGUGCAGUCUACUUCAUCUUCAGCAUUGAAAAAUUAAUUUUUAAAUUAAUGUAUGUUUAUGUAAAUGCAUAAAGUGGAAAGUAAAUACAUGAUGUGGAUGAAUCAACAUUAUUUUAAAAGAUAUAUUCUAAAUAUCUAUAUAUAUCAAUAUAUUGAAUAUACUGUAAAAAUAUGUCUAUGUAUGUAUGUAAUGAAACAAAACAAAAAUGCCACCUGCAGUUAUUAAAAUGGCCAAUUUCUUGUUUAAAUGAAUGUAUGUUUAUGUAAUGGCAUAGUGUAGAGUGUAAAUACAUGAUGUGGAGGAAUCAACAUUAUUUUUAAUUAUAUUUAAAUUAUACCACUGGGCUGUUGAAUGCUUUAUUCUGAUUGAUUGAGAAAUAUUCCAUGGGUAUGCAUUAUUUUCGAUAACUGCACACCUUACUUGUCAAAUGUCUUAAAAAUAGCCACCAGAGCAAUGUUUGUGGUAAUCGUGAUAUAAGCAGAAUAAUUGACUCUCGAGGUGUAACGGUAACCCGCUUCGCGUCGUGCCACAUUACCACCUUGGGUGUGCAUUAUUUUCUAUAUUCAGUUACAUUCUGUUAAAUGUUGAAUGAAUUUGUUAAUGUUUGUUUAAAUUGCUGUCAUGUUUGCAAUAA